AGGAUCUUAGUUUAUAAAAAACAUUUGAUUUGCAUUCAAAAAAAAUUAAACAAUUAAUAUAUCUUA
Molecule: transfer RNA, 66 nt
Filed under: Agnidra scabiosa
Lineage: Eukaryota; Metazoa; Arthropoda; Insecta; Lepidoptera; Drepanidae
Description: tRNA-Ala
Source: RNAcentral